Molecule: transfer RNA, 70 nt
Filed under: Lamprotula caveata
Lineage: Eukaryota; Metazoa; Mollusca; Bivalvia; Unionida; Unionidae
Description: tRNA-Ala
Source: RNAcentral
GGUUGAGUACUUUAUUAAAAGAGCUAACUUGCACUUAGCAAUAGAGCAGCCAUGCUCCUCAGCUCACAAA